Molecule: long non-coding RNA, 2051 nt
Filed under: Setaria italica (foxtail millet)
Lineage: Eukaryota; Viridiplantae; Streptophyta; Magnoliopsida; Poales; Poaceae
Description: long non-coding RNA (SITA_LNC002371)
Source: RNAcentral
GAUUCCAGAAGCCGAUGGAAGACUAGGCGGGCCUAGUCCGAAGCAAAAUCAACUCCACCAAAUAUGAGAAAGCGUGGAGAUGUAUCUUUAGUAGUCUUUAGAAAUAGUUAUAAUAGUUCACGUCGUACUUGAUUAAGAUUUGUAUAAAUAUAAACCCAUGAGCCUUGUAAGAAUAAUCAACAAUCAAUCAAUACAACCACCUUUUGGCGCCCCGCCGCCAAAACCCUUAUGAGUAGGAGUAGAGUAAAUUCGGUGAGUUCCUUCUAACGCGCAAGGCUGAAUUGGCUUCGAUCUCGAGCGAGCUUGUAAGUACCAUCACCCAGUCAUUACGACCUCUAUCAGGACUUUCUGAGUUAGGUGUCAUAUUCUGAUAUUCGGUUGUGUGGCUAGUUAUCGAGUUAAUCUUAGAUUGCAAGUAGAAUUUCCUAGGCUUUGGCAAAUAUUCUGCUUGUCUUCGAUGGUUCCUCAUAGUUAUCAAAUACUUUAGAUCUGGUUAGGUUGCCUUCAUUGGCUUCCUUACCUUGCUUGAACAUUCACAGUUAUCAUAUCAUAUCAGCUGGUAGAUCUUGCAUGCUUUUAAUGUUUUACUUAUGCUAGGUCUAAUAGAUGUUGACCCCUGCCGCUCGUAUCGCUAAACCGUCAGGCCUCUGACAUCAGCACGCUGUCUCUGAGAGCCAAUGCUUCGGUCGGGUCAUAUCCGCAUCUCGCGUGAGCACAAUGACGUCACUGAGCCGAUAUGGGCGCGUGCAAGGCCUUGCUGCCAUGAGCCUGUCUGUUAAGUCUAACGGGUCGAAGUUGGUGCCUCUCACUGUGUUACCUUGUCUAAGUUCAACACACGGUCAAGACAUCGAUUAGACUUUGUUACCUUAGUGGGCUUGUAAGCAGUAGGCAAGAGGUGUUUGCUAAUUGUGCUCUAGCCUUUUUAUGUUGGAAGAUCGAGGUUAAUGCUCUCUCAUUCGUGUUAUCUUGUCUAAGUUCAAUACACUUAUUAAGAUAUUAAUUAAGAUCUAUAAAUGUACCUGGUUAGCGUACAGUUAGCAUCGGCUAGUCGUUGUUGCUAUGUUCUAAUCCUUUAAGUUAGUAGAUUGAUGCCAAUACCCUCUCAUUCGUGUUACCUUAUUUGAGUUCAAUACACUUAUCAAGAUAUUGGCAAGGUCUGUUAGCUUAUCUUAUUAAGCGCAUGGCUAACGAGGGCUACCUUUUUAGCUGUUGUGUUAUGAUGCUUUAUCUUAGCCCAUUGGCUGACAUAGCCGAUGGCCUCACCAUUAAGGUUUUUAUUUAUUUACACCGCAUGCUUACAUUUAAUAUCUAUCUGUUGUGGUGACAUAGCUGAUGGGCGAGGAGAAGCAUGGUGGGGUCAACGACGUCGUGGAGGAAUGGGAGGAGGACGUCGGAGGGGGUGGGGAUGGGGUCUCACGCUCGUCGGUGUCGGCGUAGUCGCUGUAGUCAACCAGGGGUGGGUAGAUCUAACGGGAGGAGAUAGGAGAGGUAGAGGAAGGCAGCAGCGGGUGGAUCUGCGGGGAGAGAGCGAGGAGGGGAAAAGAGUGGAGGGUAGGGUUUCAUGGACAGAUGGUGUAUUUAUUCGGAGGCCGGUUCAUCUCGGCCAUCCAACUUUGAUCUAAUGGCCAAAAAGAGGUGUGUAUUCAUGGGCCGAAUCAUUUAAACGGCCGAACUCAGACUUGUCUAAACAUACUUCACUAUUUAAUGUUUUUCAUUUUCUUUUUGCCAUUUUAAAGCAUCCUUCUAAAGUAACUUGCAAAUAAAUUAUCUUACAUACACUCAUAUAUUUUUAAAUAUAGUAGAUAACAUUUAAGUUUUCAUGUAGGAGUUUAAAGAAUUUUUGAAUAGAUUUAGUGUCUUCUAUCAUUAAAAUGAAUUUCUACAUGCUUAUCAAAAGUAAUUCCAAGUUAAACUAUGUGUACCACCAAUAAGAUUUGAAAAUUUGGACAAAAAAUUUAUUUAGGCUCCUAUGUUCCAUUAUAACCCAUGUCUUGAAGAUAGAUGAACAAUUAAAUUACCUUUUAGGGACAAUUUAGACUUCUAUCUCCAAA